This 253-nucleotide ribosomal RNA is filed under the name uncultured bacterium. RNAcentral's name for it is "partial 16S ribosomal RNA". It matches the Rfam family "Bacterial small subunit ribosomal RNA", at positions 524 to 776 of the family's 1533-position model. The record is from RNAcentral.
UACGGGGGGGGCAAGCGUUGUUCGGAAUUACUGGGCGUAAAGGGCUCGUAGGCGGCCAACUAAGUCAGACGUGAAAUCCCUCGGCUUAACCGGGGAACUGCGUCUGAUACUGGAUGGCUUGAGUUCGGGAGAGGGAUGCGGAAUUCCGGGUGUAGUGGUGGAAUGCGUAGAGAUCCGGAGGAACACCAGCGGCGAAGGCGGCAUCCUGGACUGGUACUGACGCUCAGGAGCGAAAGCGUGGGGAGCGAUCCGG